GGGCGGGCACCACAGUGCCUGGUGCAGCCUCUCCUCUGUGCCAGGCAUUCUUCCGGGGGUGUGUGCAAGUGGACACAUAUUCCCGGCCCAAACAGGAUCCCGGGGCCUGGAUCGUUUGCCCAAAACAGUGGUUGCCACAGGAACGAGAAAGCUGGGGGGCCCGGUCUGGCCUUGGGCAGGUGUCUGGACCUUUCUGCCAAUCCCUCCUCAUUCAGGGAGGAAGCUGGAGGUCUGUGGAGGAUUUUGGGGUACAAUUUGAAAUGCAAUGAAGGCAGGGCUGCAGCUGGGAAGCUGCUCAGCCUGCAGGCAGCCCCCAGCCUGUCUGUCCCAGCCUCGCCAGGCCUGUCUCACGGCAGGGCUGCAGCCAAACCUUUAUUGGUUAAAUAGCACAUGUGGCCAAGUUUACUGGAGAAAAACAACAGCCAGGAAUGAAGACGGCUUUUCGGGCUGUUUUCCACUUUUCCUCCAAGCAGCUGAAGGUGCUCCUAGGGGCUGGAGCAUCGCGGACGCUGCGACCAGGCCCUGACCGGAGAUGAGGAGACCGAGGCUCAGAGAAGCAAGUCACCUACCCCGGCUCAGAGCGCACAGCUGGAGCGAGCGUCAUGAAGCAGUGUUCUCCACGGUCCCCACCCAGCCCCACGUGGGCCUGUGUGAGGAAUGUCGUCCUCAGGCCCCAGACCUCCCGGAUCCGACCUGCAGGGAUCCCGAGGCCUCGCCCGCACAAGGCGCCUGAGCCCCGCCUUCUUGGCCACGGCCAGGCCUCAGUUCCUCCCUCUGCCUGAUCAGGACUCUGCUCCAGGCGACAUUCCCUGGCCUCCGUCCGUCCAUCUGGCCCCUGCCCUCUGUUCCCACCUGAACCCCCGGUCCCCGUUCCUCCUCGGCAGGUGGAUGCCUGUCCCCACAGGUCACUCUCUCUGCACAAACUUCCUUCCUGCCUCUAACCAGCCCUUAAGGACAAGAGCCCCGGCCUCACGGGUCAGGAAUGUGACGACUUUCUCCAGCAGCUGCUUCCCAGCCUCAGCCGCAGUCUGG
This 1032-nucleotide long non-coding RNA is filed under the name Equus caballus (horse). RNAcentral describes it as "lncRNA (ENSECAG00000043909.1)". The record is from RNAcentral. Lineage: Eukaryota; Metazoa; Chordata; Mammalia; Perissodactyla; Equidae.